AUUAAGCAUUUUUGUCGUUAGCCAAGCUGGAGUCACAGUGCCUAUGUCCGAGUAUCGGAACCAUCUGAAGAAAUGCCACUCAAAACAUUUUCCCCUCCUACCACUAUAACGCUCCAGAGCAAGUGAUUCCAGUUUUUCUUUAUAAAAUCACGUUUACAUAUUAUUUGUUUCUUUCAUCACUUGGAGCUUUCAUUCUUGGUUCUUUCUCAUGUUCACAUAAUGUAAGGAGAUCAUGAUGGUCAAGGUGUGAUCAUCUCGUGGGUAACGCCAUU
This 272-nucleotide small RNA is filed under the name Arabidopsis thaliana (thale cress). Its description in RNAcentral is "ATSL209110". Lineage: Eukaryota; Viridiplantae; Streptophyta; Magnoliopsida; Brassicales; Brassicaceae. The record is from RNAcentral.